GCCUGCUUGGCUCAGUGGUUAGAGCGUUUCACUUGUACUUUCCUACGAAGCGCUUGGUAGAAAGUCAUGAAAAGGUCACUUGUUCAACUCAGGUAGUAGGCA
This is a non-coding RNA of Phellopilus nigrolimitatus, 102 nucleotides long. The record is from the annotation of a GenBank genome assembly. Lineage: Eukaryota; Fungi; Basidiomycota; Agaricomycetes; Hymenochaetales; Hymenochaetaceae.